GAUCAUAGCUCAGGAUGAACGCUAGCUACAGGCUUAACACAUGCAAGUCGAGGGGCAGCAUGAGAGGAACUUCGGUUCUUUUUGAUGGCGACCGGCGCACGGGUGCGUAACGCGUAUCGAACCUGCCUCAUACUCGGGGAUAGCCUUGCGAAAGUAAGAUUAAUACCCGGCGGUCUCGGACGGCCGCAUGACAGUCUGAGUGAAGAUUUAUCGGUAUGAGAUGGCGAUGCCG
RNAcentral lists this ribosomal RNA (232 nucleotides) under uncultured bacterium. Its description in RNAcentral is "partial 16S ribosomal RNA". It matches the Rfam family "Bacterial small subunit ribosomal RNA", at positions 15 to 235 of the family's 1533-position model. The record is from RNAcentral.